Molecule: ribosomal RNA, 485 nt
Filed under: uncultured bacterium
Lineage: Bacteria
Description: partial 16S ribosomal RNA
Rfam family: Bacterial small subunit ribosomal RNA
Source: RNAcentral
AGCGAACGCUGGCGGCGUGCUUAACACAUGCAAGUCGGACGAGAACGGAAUAUAGCUUGCUAUAUUUGUCAGCUAAGUGGCGCACGGGUGAGUAAUGUAUAGAUAACCUGCCCUUAAGAAAGGAAUAACAGUUGGAAACGACUGCUAAUGCCCUAUAUGCCUUUAAUACAUAAGUAUGCAAGGGAAACGCUUUAGUGCUUAAGGAUGGGUCUGUAUGGUAUUAGCUUGUUGGUGAGGUAAUGGCUCACCAAGGCUAUGACGCCUAACUGGUUUGAGGGGAUGAUCAGUCACACUGGAACUGAGACACGGUCCAGACUCCUACGGGAGGCAGCAGUGGGGAAUAUUGCACAAUGGACGAAAGUCUGAUGCAGCAACGCCGCGUGGAGGAUGACACAUUUCGGUGCGUAAACUCCUUUUAUAUAGGAAGAUAAUGACGGUACUAUAUGAAUAAGCACCGGCUAACUCCGUGCCAGCCGCCGCGGUAA